AGCCCCGUGGUGUAGAGGUCAAUCAUGUGAGGUUCUGGACCUGGCAACGGCGGUUCGAAUCCGCCCGGGGCUA
This 73-nucleotide transfer RNA is filed under the name Thermoplasmatota archaeon. Its description in RNAcentral is "Candidatus Thermoplasmatota archaeon tRNA-Gln". It matches the Rfam family "tRNA". Rfam says of the family: Transfer RNA (tRNA) molecules are approximately 80 nucleotides in length. Their secondary structure includes four short double-helical elements and three loops (D, anti-codon, and T loops). The record is from RNAcentral. Lineage: Archaea; Methanobacteriati; Thermoplasmatota.